UCAAAUGAUGUAAUACAUAUAUUUGCUACUUCGGACGUUGGUUUUCCCAUCGAAUGAGACAUAACAUAUAUCACCAAGAUCGCUGAUGGA
Small nuclear RNA from Eremothecium sinecaudum, 90 nucleotides. The record is from RefSeq and is a predicted model, not a curated record. Lineage: Eukaryota; Fungi; Ascomycota; Saccharomycetes; Saccharomycetales; Saccharomycetaceae.